Molecule: ribosomal RNA, 396 nt
Filed under: Triticum aestivum (bread wheat)
Lineage: Eukaryota; Viridiplantae; Streptophyta; Magnoliopsida; Poales; Poaceae
Description: partial small subunit ribosomal RNA
Source: RNAcentral
AUGCCCACUCCUAAGUGGCAGCGACCGGAGGCAGGUUGGACUAAGGUUAAUACAGAUGGAGCCAUCGACUCCGAACGGGGCAGGGGUGGCGCUGGGAUCAUUGCCAGAGAUGAUCAAGGGAUUUUCAUUCAAGCAACAUGUAUACAAUACGGUGGAGCCACUGACCCCCUAGCGAUUGAGCUGCUGGCAUGCCAGGAUGCAAUGAUCCUAGCACGGGAUAUGGGAUGGCAAAGAGUGCUACUAGAAACAGACUGUCAAGAGAUUCAAAGGUUGUGGAGGUCAACCCAGAAUUCUAUUGGCUAUCAUAUUUUACGGGAGAUGGAGGAAGUAGUCUUCUCCAGGGUUUCGAGCUCCGGUUCUCUAGCUGUCAGUCAAAUGAGGCGUCCCACCGGUUAG